CAGCCGCCGCGGUAAAACGAAGGGUGCAAGCGUUACUCGGAAUUACUGGGCGUAAAGCGUGCGUAGGUGGUGGUUUAAGUCCGUUGUGAAAGCCCUGGGCUCAACCUGGGAAUUGCAGUGGAUACUGGGUCACUAGAGUGUGGUAGAGGAUAGUGGAAUUUCCGGUGUAGCAGUGAAAUGCGUAGAGAUCGGAAGGAACAUCUGUGGCGGAGGCGACUAUCUGGGCCAACACUGACACUGAGGCACGAAAGCGUGGGGAGCAAACAGGAUUAGAUACCCCGGUAGUCCCUGUCUCUUAUAA
Molecule: ribosomal RNA, 301 nt
Filed under: uncultured bacterium
Lineage: Bacteria
Description: partial 16S ribosomal RNA
Rfam family: Bacterial small subunit ribosomal RNA
Source: RNAcentral